Molecule: ribosomal RNA, 497 nt
Filed under: uncultured bacterium
Lineage: Bacteria
Description: partial 16S ribosomal RNA
Rfam family: Bacterial small subunit ribosomal RNA
Source: RNAcentral
GACGAACGCUGGCGGCGUGCCUAAUACAUGCAAGUUGAGCGCUGAAGGUUGGUACUUGUACCAACUGGAUGAGCAGCGAACGGGUGAGUAACGCGUGGGGAAUCUGCCUUUGAGCGGGGGACAACAUUUGGAAACGAAUGCUAAUACCGCAUAAAAACUUUAAACACAAGUUUUAAGUUUGAAAGAUGCAAUUGCAUCACUCAAAGAUGAUCCCGCGUUGUAUUAGCUAGUUGGUGAGGUAAAGGCUCACCAAGGCGAUGAUACAUAGCCGACCUGAGAGGGUGAUCGGCCACAUUGGGACUGAGACACGGCCCAAACUCCUACGGGAGGCAGCAGUAGGGAAUCUUCGGCAAUGGACGAAAGUCUGACCGAGCAACGCCGCGUGAGCGAAGAAGGUUGUCGGAUCGUAAAACUCUGUUGGUAGAGAAGAACGUUGGUGAGAGUGGAAAGCUCAUCAAGUGACGGUAACUACCCAGAAAGGGACGGCUAACUACGUG